GCCCCGUUGGCUUAGUGGUAAAGCGUAUCACUAGUAAUGAUAAGAUCACUGGUUCGAUUCCAGUACGGGGCA
This is a transfer RNA of 72 nucleotides. It matches the Rfam family "tRNA". From Rfam's summary of the family: Transfer RNA (tRNA) molecules are approximately 80 nucleotides in length. Their secondary structure includes four short double-helical elements and three loops (D, anti-codon, and T loops). The record is from Rfam.